GUGCCAGCAGCCGCGGUAACACGUAGGGUGCGAGCGUUGUCCGGAAUUAUUGGGCGUAAAGAGCUCGUAGGCGGUGUGUCGCGUCGGCCGUGAAAACCUGGGGCUUAACUCUGAGCGUGCGGUCGAUACGGGCAUCACUUGAGUUCGGCAGGGGAGACUGGAAUUCCUGGUGUAGCGGUGAAAUGCGCAGAUAUCAGGAGGAACACCGGUGGCGAAGGCGGGUCUCUGGGCCGAUACUGACGCUGAGGAGCGAAAGCGUGGGGAGCGAACAGGAUUAGAUACCCUGGUAGUCC
This 293-nucleotide ribosomal RNA is filed under the name uncultured microorganism. RNAcentral describes it as "partial 16S ribosomal RNA". It matches the Rfam family "Bacterial small subunit ribosomal RNA", at positions 505 to 796 of the family's 1533-position model. The record is from RNAcentral.